This 723-nucleotide ribosomal RNA is filed under the name Staphylococcus sp. J688. Its description in RNAcentral is "bacterial SSU rRNA". It matches the Rfam family "Bacterial small subunit ribosomal RNA", at positions 48 to 753 of the family's 1533-position model. The record is from RNAcentral. Lineage: Bacteria; Bacillati; Bacillota; Bacilli; Caryophanales; Staphylococcaceae.
CUAAUACAUGCAAGUCGAGCGAACAGAUAAGGAGCUUGCUCCUUUGACGUUAGCGGCGGACGGGUGAGUAACACGUGGAUAACCUACCUAUAAGACUGGGAUAACUUCGGGAAACCGGAGCUAAUACCGGAUAACAUAUUGAACCGCAUGGUUCAAUAGUGAAAGGCGGCUUUGCUGUCACUUAUAGAUGGAUCCGCGCCGUAUUAGCUAGUUGGUAAGGUAACGGCUUACCAAGGCAACGAUACGUAGCCGACCUGAGAGGGUGAUCGGCCACACUGGAACUGAGACACGGUCCAGACUCCUACGGGAGGCAGCAGUAGGGAAUCUUCCGCAAUGGGCGAAAGCCUGACGGAGCAACGCCGCGUGAGUGAUGAAGGUCUUCGGAUCGUAAAACUCUGUUAUCAGGGAAGAACAAAUGUGUAAGUAACUGUGCACAUCUUGACGGUACCUGAUCAGAAAGCCACGGCUAACUACGUGCCAGCAGCCGCGGUAAUACGUAGGUGGCAAGCGUUAUCCGGAAUUAUUGGGCGUAAAGCGCGCGUAGGCGGUUUUUUAAGUCUGAUGUGAAAGCCCACGGCUCAACCGUGGAGGGUCAUUGGAAACUGGAAAACUUGAGUGCAGAAGAGGAAAGUGGAAUUCCAUGUGUAGCGGUGAAAUGCGCAGAGAUAUGGAGGAACACCAGUGGCGAAGGCGACUUUCUGGUCUGUAACUGACGCUGAUGUU